GACGAACGCUGGCGGCGUGCCUAAUACAUGCAAGUAGAACGCACAGGUUAUACCGUAGCUUGCUACACCAUAGACUGUGAGUUGCGAACGGGUGAGUAACGCGUAGGUAACCUGCCUGGUAGCGGGGGAGAACUAAUGGAAACGAUAGCUAAUACCGCAUAAUAUUAAUUAUUGCAUGAUAAUUAAUUGAAAGGUGCAAUUGCACCACUACCAGAUGGACCUGCGUUGUAUUAGCUAGUGUGUGAGGUAACGGCGCACCUAGGCGAGGAUUCAUAGGCGACCGGCCAGGGUGGUCGGCCGCCCUGGGAGUGAGACAGGGCCCAGCCUCCUACGGGAGGCAGCCGUAGGGGAUCUUCGGUGAUGGACGGAAGGCAGACCGAGCCACCCCGCGUGAGUGAAGGAGGUUUUCGUAUCGUAAGGCUCUGUUGUUAGAGAAGAACGGGUGUGAGAGUGGAAAGUUCACACUGUGACGGUAUCUUACCAGAAAGCGACGGCUAACUACGUG
Molecule: ribosomal RNA, 505 nt
Filed under: uncultured bacterium
Lineage: Bacteria
Description: partial 16S ribosomal RNA
Rfam family: Bacterial small subunit ribosomal RNA
Source: RNAcentral